CAGCCGCCGCGGUAAUACGUAGGGUGCAAGCGUUAAUCGGAAUUACUGGGCGUAAAGCGUGCGCAGGCGGUUCGCUAAGACAGAUGUGAAAUCCCCGGGCUUAACCUGGGAACUGCAUUUGUGACUGGCGGGCUAGAGUAUGGCAGAGGGGGGUAGAAUUCCACGUGUAGCAGUGAAAUGCGUAGAGAUGUGGAGGAAUACCGAUGGCGAAGGCAGCCCCCUGGGCCAAUACUGACGCUCAUGCACGAAAGCGUGGGGAGCAAACAGGAUUAGAUACCCGUGUAGUCCCUGUCUCUUAUAC
RNAcentral lists this ribosomal RNA (301 nucleotides) under uncultured bacterium. Its description in RNAcentral is "partial 16S ribosomal RNA". It matches the Rfam family "Bacterial small subunit ribosomal RNA", at positions 509 to 807 of the family's 1533-position model. The record is from RNAcentral.